This 670-nucleotide ribosomal RNA is filed under the name Micrococcus antarcticus. Its description in RNAcentral is "bacterial SSU rRNA". It matches the Rfam family "Bacterial small subunit ribosomal RNA", at positions 100 to 785 of the family's 1533-position model. Lineage: Bacteria; Bacillati; Actinomycetota; Actinomycetes; Micrococcales; Micrococcaceae. The record is from RNAcentral.
GAACGGGUGAGUAACACGUGAGUAACCUGCCCUUGACUCUAGGAUAAGCCCGGGAAACUGGGUCUAAUACUGGAUAGGAACGUCUACCGCAUGGUGGAUGUUGGAAAGAAUUUCGGUCAUGGAUGGACUCGCGGCCUAUCAGCUUGUUGGUGAGGUAAUGGCUCACCAAGGCGACGACGGGUAGCCGGCCUGAGAGGGUGACCGGCCACACUGGGACUGAGACACGGCCCAGACUCCUACGGGAGGCAGCAGUGGGGAAUAUUGCACAAUGGGCGAAAGCCUGAUGCAGCGACGCCGCGUGAGGGAUGACGGCCUUCGGGUUGUAAACCUCUUUCAGUAGGGAAGAAGCGAAAGUGACGGUACCUGCAGAAGAAGCACCGGCUAACUACGUGCCAGCAGCCGCGGUAAUACGUAGGGUGCGAGCGUUAUCCGGAAUUAUUGGGCGUAAAGAGCUCGUAGGCGGUUUGUCGCGUCUGUCGUGAAAGUCCGGGGCUUAACCCCGGAUCUGCGGUGGGUACGGGCAGACUAGAGUGCAGUAGGGGAGACUGGAAUUCCUGGUGUAGCGGUGGAAUGCGCAGAUAUCAGGAGGAACACCGAUGGCGAAGGCAGGUCUCUGGGCUGUAACUGACGCUGAGGAGCGAAAGCAUGGGGAGCGAACAGGAUUAGAUAC